AAAUUUUGUCAGAGCCAAGGUUUUUAAAAUUAGUAGUCUAUGGAAUACAUGAUAUAAACUAUUUGAGUAGAGCAGUUGUAAUUACUCAGAAAACAACUUUUAUCGUCUAGCUUUAUUUGAACUUUGGAAAAAGUUGAGAGAUUGGAAUUAGGGUUAAUCACCUAAAAUUAUUUGAGUUUAAAAACAAUGAGAAAUACUAACAUGUCGGAGUUAUCUGCUUCAAAAAAAUGAUGCAAACCUGACAGCCAUUUUGGUGGCUUAAGUGUAGAUGAAUGAGAGGCCAUCCCAACACUAUCAUAAGAUUACUAUAUCCAGGUUUAAAACUUGGUUAAUUAUCUCAUUGUGUGUAUGGAAGAAAUAUAGGCAAUGUUCUCAUCUAUAUCCAAGAAAUUCUGAAAAGUCAGGCCUUCAGGUACUUGUGGGACCCUGUAACAAAGUUCUUGUAGCAAGGCUUCAUCAGUAUUAUCAUCACUAUUUGAGAUUUCUUUUGUAAUCAUAUCACCUUUAAUGAACCCUGCAUGAUGGAGUUAGGAAUUGUUGCUUGAGAAACAUCAUUCCAUGCACAAAUUGAUAAAUGCAUCAUGCUGAGUAAAUCAAUUGGUAGUUUUUUACCAUGUUCAAAGUUAAGAA
Molecule: long non-coding RNA, 630 nt
Filed under: Androctonus crassicauda
Lineage: Eukaryota; Metazoa; Arthropoda; Arachnida; Scorpiones; Buthidae
Source: RNAcentral